Molecule: ribosomal RNA, 253 nt
Filed under: uncultured bacterium
Lineage: Bacteria
Description: partial 16S ribosomal RNA
Rfam family: Bacterial small subunit ribosomal RNA
Source: RNAcentral
CACGUAGGGGACGAGCGUUGUCCGGAUUCAUUGGGCGUAAAGCGCGCGUAGGCGGCUCGGAAAGUCGGUCGUGAAAUGCCGGGGCUCAACCCCGGGACUGCGUCCGAUACUUCCGGGCUGGAGGUAGGUAGGGGAGAUCGGAAUUCCUGGUGUAGUGGUGAAAUGCGCAGAUAUCAGGAGGAACACCGGUGGCGAAGGCGGAUCUCUGGGCCUUACCUGACGCUGAGGCGCGAAAGCUAGGGGAGCGAACAGG